AUGGCAGCUGAGACUCUGUACACAUACCCUGAAAACUAGAGAGCCUUUAAGGCCCUCAUAACCAUGCAGUAAGCGGGGCUCAGGUCCACAUACUCUCUGCACCACACCAUUUCCACUUUGGCCAAACCAACCACACCCCUGAAUUUCUCUGAAAGUUUUCUGCAGGCAAGGUUCCAUCAUUUGAAGGUGAUGAUGAUUCUGUGUAUUUGAGAGCAAUGCCAUUGCCUACUAUGUGAGCAAUGAGGACAUGUGGGGAAGUAGUCUAGAAGCAGCAGCCCAGGUGGUGCAAUGGGUGAGCUUUGCUGAUAAUGACAUAGUGCCCCCAGCCAGUACCUGGGUGUUCCCCACCUUGGGCAUCAUGCACUACAACAAACAGGCCACAGAGGACAUGAGGCAAAUACUAGCGCUGCUGGAUGCUCACUUGAAGACAAGGACCUUUCUGGUGGGCAGACUUGUGACACUGGCUGACAUCACAGUUGUCUGCACCCUACUGUGGCUCUAUAAGCAUGUCCUGGAGCCAUCUUUCUGCCAGGCUUUCCCCAACACCAACUACUGGUUCCUCACCUGCAUUAACCAGCCCCCAUUCUGCACUGUCUUGGGGGAGGUGAAGCUCUGUGAGAAGAUGGCCCAGCUUGAUGCUAAAAAGUUUUCAGAGAACCAGCCUAAAAGGGACACCCCUCAGAAGAAGAAAGGACCUUGGGAGGAGAAGCCAAAGCCCCAGGCCAAGCAGAAAGAGGAGAAAAAGGCCACUGCACCCCCUCCCAAGGAGGAGAUGGACAAGUGUGAGCAGGCACUGGCAGGAGAGCCAAUGGCCAAGGAACACUUUAUCACCUGCCCAAGAAUACCUUUGUGUUGGAUGAAUUCAAGUGCAAGUACUCCAAUGAGGACACGCUGUCAGUGGUGCUGCCAUACUUUUUGGAGCACUUUGGUAAGAACAGCUGGUCCCUGAGGUACUCUGAGUACCGCUUCCCUGAAGAUCACACCCAGACCUUCAUGAAUUGCAACAUCAUCACUGGAAUUUUCCAGCUGUUGGACAAGCUAAGGAAGAAUGCCUUUGCCAGUAUCAUCCUCUUUGAAACCAACAACAGCAGCUCCAUUUCUGGAGUCUGGGUCUUCCAAGGCCAGGAGCUUGCCUUUCUGCUGAGUCCAGACUGGUAGGUGGACUAUGAAUCAUACACGUGGUGGAAGCUGGAUCCCGGCAGCGUGAAGACACAGACAUUAGUGUGAGAGUACUUUUGCUGGGAGGGGGCCUUCCAACACAUGGGUAAAGCUUUCAAUCAGGGCAAGAUAUUCAAGUGA
Molecule: RNA transcript, 1299 nt
Organism: Myotis brandtii (Brandt's bat)
Lineage: Eukaryota; Metazoa; Chordata; Mammalia; Chiroptera; Vespertilionidae
Gene name: elongation factor 1-gamma-like
Exons: 1
Source: RefSeq, a predicted model, not a curated record